CAAUAGCGUAUAUUAAAGUUGUUGCAGUUAAAAAGCUCGUAGUUGGAUUUCUGGUGGGAGCGAUCGGUCUGGCGCUUAGCGCGAGUACUUGCAUCGUCUCCGGCCAUCCUUGGGGAGAGUCUGUCUGGCAUUAGGUUGUCGGGCAGAGGAUCCUCAUCGUUUACUGUGAAAAAAUUAGAGUGUUCAAAGCAGGCUUAUGCCGUUGAAUAUAUUAGCAUGGAAUAAUAAGAUAGGACUUUGGUACUAUUUUGUUGGUUUGCGCACCAAAGUAAUGAUUAAUAGGGACAGUUGGGGGUAUUCGUAUUCCGUUGUCAGAGGUGAAAUUCUUGGAUUUACGGAAGACAAACUACUGCGAAAGCAUUUACCAAGGAUGUUUUCAUUAA
RNAcentral lists this ribosomal RNA (383 nucleotides) under uncultured eukaryote. Its description in RNAcentral is "partial 18S ribosomal RNA". It matches the Rfam family "Eukaryotic small subunit ribosomal RNA", at positions 592 to 976 of the family's 1831-position model. The record is from RNAcentral.